AACAUACUGAUUUCAAACAUAAGUUCAUGUUUUUGUUAUAGUAAAAAUGGUAUGUAGGAAUUUCGGACGCGGGUUCAACUCCCGCCAGCUCCACCA
This 96-nucleotide transfer-messenger RNA is filed under the name Escherichia coli. RNAcentral's name for it is "partial transfer-messenger RNA". It matches the Rfam family "transfer-messenger RNA". From Rfam's summary of the family: Bacterial tmRNA, also known as 10Sa RNA or SsrA, is named for its dual tRNA and mRNA-like properties. Its role is to liberate the mRNA from a stalled ribosome. The record is from RNAcentral. Lineage: Bacteria; Pseudomonadati; Pseudomonadota; Gammaproteobacteria; Enterobacterales; Enterobacteriaceae.